This 468-nucleotide ribosomal RNA is filed under the name uncultured bacterium. Its description in RNAcentral is "partial 16S ribosomal RNA". It matches the Rfam family "Bacterial small subunit ribosomal RNA", at positions 28 to 507 of the family's 1533-position model. The record is from RNAcentral.
GACGAACGCUGGCGGCGUGCUUAACACAUGCAAGUCGAACGGAAAGGCCCUGCUUUUGUGGGGUGCUCGAGUGGCGAACGGGUGAGUAACACGUGAGUAACCUGCCCUUGACUUUGGGAUAACUUCAGGAAACUGGGGCUAAUACCGGAUAGGAGCUCCUGCUGCAUGGUGGGGGUUGGAAAGUUUCGGCGGUUGGGGAUGGACUCGCGGCUUAUCAGCUUGUUGGUGGGGUAGUGGCUUACCAAGGCUUUGACGGGUAGCCGGCCUGAGAGGGUGACCGGCCACAUUGGGACUGAGAGACGGCCCAGACGCCUACGGGAGGCAGCAGUCGGGAAUAUUGCACAAUGGGCGGAAGCCUGAUGCAGCAACGCCGCGUGCGGGAUGACGGCCUUCGGGUUGUAAACCGCUUUCGCCUGUGACGAAGCGUGAGUGACGGUAAUGGGUAAAGAAGCACCGGCUAACUACGUG